AAGAGGGGCUGCCUGGGACAGGGAGUGAAUCAUGUGCUCAGGUUGGCUGGAUUGAGCAUCACCUAGGAACCAGGUGAGGCACCCCUGUAGGUGUCUGUGAGUGUUUCCAGCGUGAGGAGUGACUGAGGAGAAAAGGGCCCAUGGUGAGUGUGGACAACAUCUUCCCACAGACUGAAACACAACACAAGGGAGAAACGCAAGAAGCCGGCGGACCGAACAAGCCCUUCCUCACGGUUAGCGGCCACAAAGUUGACUGCUCUGGUCCAUAACAUCCUCCAGGCCAUGAUGGGUUGAACCCUCUGAACCCGGAGCCAAAACCAAUCUUACCUUCCCACAACAAUAAAAAACAAAAAAGGCU
Molecule: long non-coding RNA, 358 nt
Organism: Mastomys coucha (southern multimammate mouse)
Lineage: Eukaryota; Metazoa; Chordata; Mammalia; Rodentia; Muridae
Exons: 2
Source: RefSeq, a predicted model, not a curated record